AAGAUUUUAAGUUAAUAAAACUAUUAUCCUUCAAAGUUAAAAUUAUAAUUACUUUAUAAAUCUUA
This 65-nucleotide transfer RNA is filed under the name Coelioxys fenestratus. RNAcentral describes it as "Coelioxys fenestrata tRNA-Trp". Lineage: Eukaryota; Metazoa; Arthropoda; Insecta; Hymenoptera; Megachilidae. The record is from RNAcentral.